RNAcentral lists this ribosomal RNA (492 nucleotides) under Daphnia pulex (common water flea). RNAcentral's name for it is "partial small subunit ribosomal RNA". The stretch from base 133 to 492 matches the Rfam family "Microsporidia small subunit ribosomal RNA", at positions 752 to 1267 of the family's 1311-position model. Lineage: Eukaryota; Metazoa; Arthropoda; Branchiopoda; Diplostraca; Daphniidae. The record is from RNAcentral.
GAUGGUGAAAUUUUGUUGAUAAGGUGAAAUUUUUAAUUAGAAGGAAAUUCUUAAGAAAUCUUGUUGGAAUUAAAAAAUUUAGGUAAAAAACCAGGAUUAGAUACCCUGUUAUUCUAAAUUAUAAUGUAGAUAGGGUAGUAAAAGUUGUUCUUCAAACCCAAAGAUUUUGGCGGCAUCUUAUCCUAAUAGAGGAGCUUGUUCUAUAAUUGAUAGUCCUCAUUUUAUCUUACCCUCUUUUGUUAAGCUUGUAUACCGCCGUUGUCAGAUUACUUUAGAAGAAUGUUUUCAAGAAAAAUAUUUUUUUCACUUCAGGUCAAGGUGCAGUUUAUAAGAGGGCAGCAAUGAGCUACAAUUUUUAAUAGAAAUACGAAUUUUAGGUUUGAAAUCCGGGGAAAGGUGGAUUUAUUAGUAAAUUUACUUAAGUAUAGUAAGUUGAAUUGGGCAAUGGGAUGUGUACAUAUCGCCCGUCACUCUCUUCUCAAGAGGAGAUAA